CUUAUCAAUAUUUUAAAAAUCGUGAAAAAAUAUAAAACAUGGUUCCCCAAGGAUGUAUGAACUAAGGAAGUCUGGAUAAAUGCUACUCGGAGAGAUUUUUUUUCCAACGAAGUACAGUGUCAUAUGUUCCAGACACUUUUUCACGAAACCACCAGAUUGUCACGAAAGCUUGAAAAAUCAACGGCGUUUGUUUAGUUUAUCCACUCCUACACUAAUUUACCAAUACUGACGCCAACGCAAGACCUACCAGAAUUUUUAACACCAGAAAUUCUUCUAAAUCCCCAGGUCACGGAAAUCAAUAAAAAUACGACAAAAUCGUCUCAUGAAAUAAAGUGUUCAAGAUCAGCUCUCUAAUUUUAAGGACGUUCAUUAUUCAGGAUUUGAUAAAAUCAUGGUAUUUUUCUAAACUAUAAUUUUACCUAUAUAUGAACUAACCUUAUGAAAUACCUGAAAUGAAUUACAAUAUGCAGAUUUAACUCCAAGAAAAAGGAAAAUGAAAAGUCAAAUUGGUCACCUUCUUUUUAGUUUGACUAAAAAGAAGAAAGAUAUAAAGAGGCUGGAAGAUAAAACAAGGAGACUAAAAAAGAUAGCUUCUAAUUUAAAAUAAACUUUAGACACACAAAGAGAUCAUUAAUUUUUAAAGAGAAUGAAGAAAUUUUAAAAAGUAUUGGCGUAGAAAAUAGGGAAUUAAUUCAGCCACAACACCAAAAAUUUCUUAAAGGGAAUUCAAAAUUCAAAAAAAUUCUUUAUUCAAUUUAGGAUGAUAUACAUCAUUUAUUGACGUCAAAAAAUUAUUUAAACUAAGUCUACUGCAGCCUUUCAAAGCGCAGGUGAAGAAGAAGCGGCAAACUUCAAACUUCACCGCAGCCUUUU
This is a long non-coding RNA of Plodia interpunctella (Indianmeal moth), 873 nucleotides long. RefSeq lists it as uncharacterized. The transcript has 4 exons. The record is from RefSeq and is a predicted model, not a curated record. NCBI's taxonomy places the organism in Eukaryota, Metazoa, Arthropoda, Insecta, Lepidoptera, Pyralidae.